GGGCGUCGCUAGUACC
This 16-nucleotide unclassified non-coding RNA is filed under the name synthetic construct. The record is from RNAcentral.